Molecule: ribosomal RNA, 497 nt
Filed under: uncultured bacterium
Lineage: Bacteria
Description: partial 16S ribosomal RNA
Rfam family: Bacterial small subunit ribosomal RNA
Source: RNAcentral
GAUGAACGCUGGCGGCGUGCCUAAUACAUGCAAGUCGAGCGAACAGACGAGGAGCUUGCUCCUCUGACGUUAGCGGCGGACGGGUGAGUAACACGUGGACAACCUACCUAUAAGACUGGGAUAACUUCGGGAAACCGGAGCUAAUACCGGAUAAUAUAUUGACCCGCAUGGUUCAAUAGUGAAAGACGGUUUUGCUGUCACUUAUAGAUGGAUCCGCGCCGCAUGAGCUAGUUGGUAAGGUAACGGCUUACCAAGGCAACGAUGCGUAGCCGACCCGAGAGGGUGGACGGCCACACGGGAAGUGAGGCACGGCCCAGACACCGGCGGGAGGCAGCAGUAGGGAAUCCUCCGCAAUGGGGGAAAGCCGGACGGAGCAACGCCGGGUGAGGGAUGAAGGUGUUCGGAUCGGAGAACUCUGUUAUUAGGAGGGAACAAAUGUGUAAGUAACUAUGCACGUCUUGACGGUACCUGGUCAGAAAGCCACGGCUAACUACGUG